GAUGAACGCUAGCGGCAGGCCUAACACAUGCAAGUCGAGGGGCAUCAUGGCGUAGCAAUACGCUGAUGGCGACCGGCGCACGGGUGCGUAACGCGUAUGGAACCUACCCACCGCAGGGGGAUAACCCGCCGAAAGGCGGACUAAUACCCCAUGGUUCCCCGACCCUGCCUGGGGUUGGGGGUAAAGCCUACGGGCGGCGGUGGAUGGCCCUGCGUGCCAUUAGCUGGCUGGUGGGGUAACGGCCCACCAGGGCGACGAUGGCUAGGGGGUCUGAGAGGACGAUCCCCCCACACUGGUACUGAGACACGGACCAGACUCCUACGGGAGGCAGCAGUGAGGAAUAUUGGUCAAUGGGCGGAAGCCUGAACCAGCCAUGCCGCGUGCAGGAUGACGGCCCUACGGGUUGUAAACUGCUUUUAUAUGGGAGCAAUAAGGUCUACGUGUAGACUGAUGAGAGUACCAUAUGAAUAAGCAUCGGCUAACUCCGUG
This 489-nucleotide ribosomal RNA is filed under the name uncultured bacterium. RNAcentral's name for it is "bacterial SSU rRNA". It matches the Rfam family "Bacterial small subunit ribosomal RNA", at positions 28 to 507 of the family's 1533-position model. The record is from RNAcentral.